AGCGAACGCUGGCGGCGUGCCUAACACAUGCAAGUCGAACGUGAACGGGGGCAACCCUUAGUAAAGUGGCGUACGGGUGAGUAACACGUAGAUAAUCUACCCAAGAGUCUGGAAUAACCUGCCGAAAGGCGGGCUAAUACUGGAUAGAGCGACGGAACUCGUAAAGAGUUUUUCGGGAAAGGGAGCUCGCAAGAGCCCUCGCUUUUGGAUGAGUCUGCGUCCCAUUAGCUAGUUGGUGGGGUAAUGGCCUACCAAGGCAGUGAUGGGUAGCUGGUCUGAGAGGAUGAUCAGCCACACUGGAACUGAAACACGGUCCAGACUCCUACGGGAGGCAGCAGUGGGGAAUCUUGCGCAAUGGACGAAAGUCUGACGCAGCCACGCCGCGUGAGUGAAGAAGGCCUUCGGGUUGUAAAGCUCUGUCGGGAGGGACGAAAAUGGUCGGUGUUAACAGCGCCGAUCACUGACGGUACCUCCAAAGGAAGCACCGGCUAACUUCGUGCCAGCCGCCGCCGUAAAAC
RNAcentral lists this ribosomal RNA (518 nucleotides) under uncultured bacterium. RNAcentral's name for it is "bacterial SSU rRNA". It matches the Rfam family "Bacterial small subunit ribosomal RNA", at positions 29 to 526 of the family's 1533-position model. The record is from RNAcentral.